GAGGAAAGUCCGGGCUCUAAUUAGAGAAAUAUCGCUGUAUAAAAAAACAGUGUAGGUAACUACGAGGAUAGUGCCACAGAAAUAAACCGCUUAAAAGUAUUAAAAUUUAAGUAAGGGUGCAAAGGUAUGGUAAGAGCGUACCAGAAAUAUAUUCAUAAUAUUUGCUAGGUAAACCCCAUAAUAGAGCAAAGUAAUAAGUCAAAUAUAUUAAUUUCUCUAUUUUUAGUAUUUCAAUACUUAUUAAUUAAAACUGCAAUAGUUUAUUAUUUUUUAUAUUUAAGAUUAAUGAUUACCCUUUUUAAACUAUUGUUAUUAUCAAUAAAUAUAUUUAUAUAUAUUUUAUUGAAAUAGUAUAAUUAAGAACAAAAUCCGGCUUAU
This 378-nucleotide RNase P RNA is filed under the name Antithamnion hubbsii. RNAcentral describes it as "ribonuclease P RNA". The stretch from base 2 to 186 matches the Rfam family "Bacterial RNase P class A", at positions 44 to 222 of the family's 367-position model. The record is from RNAcentral. Lineage: Eukaryota; Rhodophyta; Florideophyceae; Ceramiales; Ceramiaceae.